RNAcentral lists this ribosomal RNA (497 nucleotides) under uncultured bacterium. RNAcentral's name for it is "partial 16S ribosomal RNA". It matches the Rfam family "Bacterial small subunit ribosomal RNA", at positions 28 to 507 of the family's 1533-position model. The record is from RNAcentral.
GAUGAACGCUGGCGGCGUGCCUAAUACAUGCAAGUCGAGCGAACAGACGAGGAGCUUGCUCCUCUGACGUUAGCGGCGGACGGGUGAGUAACACGUGGAUAACCCACUUAUAUGUCUGGGAUAAUUUCGGGAAACCGGAGCUAAUACCGGAUAAUAUACUGAACCGCAGGGUUCAAUAGUGAAAGACGGUUUUGCUGUCACUUAUAGAUGGUUCCGCGCUGCAUUAGCUAGUUGGUAAGGUAACGGCUUACCAAGGCAACGAUGCGUAGCCGACCUGAGAGGGUGAUCGGCCACACUGGAACUGGGACACGGUCCAGGCUCCUACGGGAGGCAGCAGUAGGGAAUCUUCGGCAAUGGGCGAAAGCCUGACGCAGCAACGCCGCGUGAGUGAUGAAGGUCUUCGGAUCGUAAAACUCUGUUAUUAGGGAAGAACAAAUGUGUAAUUAACUAUGCACGUCUUGACGGUACCUAAUCAGAAAGCCACGGCUAACUACGUG